Molecule: long non-coding RNA, 2848 nt
Organism: Oreochromis aureus
Lineage: Eukaryota; Metazoa; Chordata; Actinopteri; Cichliformes; Cichlidae
Exons: 3
Source: RefSeq, a predicted model, not a curated record
UCUUUUGUAACCAAGGGGGUUCUACAGUGGGAGGUGCUUGUGUUGUAUUGUGUAAACUGUAACUGUCAUGGGAAUAAAUAGCUGCGAGGGGAGCUGCUCUUUGAAGGAGUUGGUCUGGAGACAGGUGAGGAGCAUUUAGCUUCACAGCCUGGUUCUGACCAAGCCUUUACUCGUUAGCGAGUAAAAGACCGGUUGAAGAUGUUCUGUCUUGUUUUCGUUCUUCAUGAGGAAUAAGUCUCUAAACUAGCGGGGCCUGUGGAAACACAGACUCAACAUUUAUUUGGUCCUUCCGCGCCAGAACCCAACACAUUGCAUCCACCAAGGAGGGGGGAGACGCCGCCACCGAAGCCUGCUAGCAGCGAGGCGUCUGAGACGCCUGAUGAAAGACCUGGUGCUUUACUUUGUCGCCAGGCUGGAGAGUUUGCGUCUGAACUCCCCUCAGGACGGAUGGCGAUUGACGGGAUCCAGAGACUUCCCAUGAACGAAACAACAUGAACACAACCUUUGAGCUGAACUUCCAUCUUCUCCACAAACUGUAGAUCUCUCUGAGACCGCUGAUCUAGCGCCUCAAUGGAUUGACUCAUAUUCUGCACCUGGACAGAAGGACAGUAUCAUUGAUAAACACUAAGGGUGAAUAUCUGGUCCAGUGGUCCACAGCCAGGACAUUGCUCAGUCCACGUGAAUCCAGAGUGCAUUAAGGAGUGACUGUGUCUGUUUUUUGUUCCUGCGUUGGUACUGAGGAGUGUUUGGACCGCGACAUUCAGGAGCUGGUGUUCUCUCUUGGUGAGGUGAACAACAUCUUCAGAUUAAAUUAUAAACUACAUCCAAAAGGAAACAUUUUCAACCUUUAAUAGCAGAGUUAGAAUUAACCUGUGUUUAGUGUUUGGUUAAACUGUAUUGGGGUUUGUUAAGGCUUUGGUUGACAUUCGGUAAAAGUGAAAAAGCUAAGUGAGAGCGUUCCUUUAAAAUAAACACGAUGUGUGAAACGCAUCAGCUGCUUCACAGGACACAUUCACACUUACAGUUACAUAAAAAUGUUUAAUUCAGCUGCAGAAAAAUGUUUAUUAUCAGAUUUUAAUCCUUAAAAUAUGUAUGAGAACUGCAUGAGUUACAGACGGACGGGUUAAGGCACAAACACUGUUUCAUGAUCUUCAGACUGAGGAAAACCAUCAGCAGGAGAAGAACAGAUGGAGGAGGAGGAAACGUAUUUAAAUUAAUAAUCAUCUUCCUCAUUGGGUUGUCAUGGAAACAACAUCUCUAUCUGCGGCUCCUGUGUGUUGAAACCUGCUGAGUACCAUCUGACACACACACACACACGUUGGACAAAGACCAACAUUUCUGUGAGAGGGGAGGAAACGAAGCGUUUUUGUGAAACCAGAAUCAGAAUUUUCACUGUAUCAUUAUAUCAGCAGUCUUAAGCAGCAGUAAUUAAUUUGGGAACACGUUGAGAUUAAAAUCUCUUUUUCAAUCUGACCAUUAGAGCACACGGUUACAAAAUGAAAAUUCAAUUUGAAUUCAAUCGGGGAUGAAAAUUUCUAGUGUGAACAGACAAAAAAAUAAAACCAAUCAUAACGAGCAAAGAAUCCAAAAAUAUUUCACUUUUUCUUUUUCAGAACUCACUGAAUGGUCUUGGAGGAAAGGAGAAAAAACAUUGCAGACAUUUCCCCGACAGGGAUGUCACAGAUCGACCACCAUCACACUGCCCACUGCAUCGGCGUGUCUGGACCAGCUCACUGAACUGGCUGACUGUCGCUUGCUGUUUGAUCAAGGUGAUGACCUUUGGUUCACUUUCAGAGCAGACGGUUUUCAGCCAGCAGUCUCGACUCUCUUAGAGAUAUUUUCACUCACUGUUUGAAGGCAUUAGGACUCUUUCUUGGAGAAGACCGGCGGGGAGUCUUUUAGUUGACUAAAGAAAUAUCACACAUUGGAAGUCAUCUGUGGAGAAAAUUUCCCCUUCGUUAUCCUGUUUUUUUUCACCAGGAAAGCACAAACAUCACUCCACUUCCUUCACUUUUCCCUGAAUUAAAACCAAACACUCCAUAGUCUGUGACAUGUAAAAUCUGGGCUAGAAAUACAGAUGGCAUCUCUGAAAGCCUGCCAGUUUACAGCACUGACCCAUAAUGCACUGCACACAUCAUGAUGGCACUCUGCGGGUGGACUUUCACAGGCAUAAACAUCCUCCACCUACACCUGAACAUGGUGGUUUCUUACCAGCUAUAUGACCAUAAAAGCCUGAUUCACACAGUCUCCUCUGAACAAGUAGAGAUGUGUCUGCUGCUGGAACUCUGUGUGGCAUUUAUCUGGGCUCUAAUCUGAGCUGCUGUUAACUUGUGAUUUCUGAGGCUGGUGACUCGGAUGAUUGUAUCCUCAGCAGCAGAGGGGACUCUUGGUCUUCCUUUCCUGGGGCGUCCUCAUGUGAGACAGUUUUGUCGUAGUGCUUGAUGGUUUUUGCAACUGCACUUGGGGACACAUUCAGGGUUUUAGCAGUUUUCCAGACUGACUGACCUUCAGUUCUUAAAGUAAUGAUGAACUGUUGUUUCUCUUUACUUUAGCUGAUUCGUUCUUGCCAUAAUAUGAAUUCUAACAGUUGUCAAAUAGGGCUGUCAGCUGUGCACCAACCUGACUGCUGCACAACACACCUGAUGGACCCAUUAAGAAAGUAAGAAACUCCACCAAUGAACCCUGACAGACACACCUGUGAGGUGAAACCAUCUCAGGUGACGACAUCAUGAAGCUCACUGAGAGAAGGCCGAGGGUUUGCAGCGCUGUCAACAAAGCAAAGGGUGGAAUCUAAAAUAUAAGACAUGUUUAGAGUUAUCAAUGUUUUCUUUGCUACAUAAUUCCAUAU